Molecule: ribosomal RNA, 460 nt
Filed under: uncultured bacterium
Lineage: Bacteria
Description: partial 16S ribosomal RNA
Rfam family: Bacterial small subunit ribosomal RNA
Source: RNAcentral
CCUACGGGAGGCAGCAGUGAGGAAUAUUGGUCAAUGGGCUGACGCCUGAACCAGCCAAGUCGCGUGAGGGAAGACUGCCCGAUGGGUUGUAAACCUCUUUUGUCAGGGAGCAAGUGGCGCUACGUGUAGCGUUAUCGAGAGGACCUGAAGAAAAAGCAGCGCCUAACUCCGUGCCAGCAGCCGCGGUAAUACGGAGGAUGAGGUCGUUAUCAGGAUUUAGUGGGUUUAAAGGGGGCGUAGGCGGAAUGCCAAGUCAGCGGUAAAACCGCGGGGCUCAACCUCGCUCCGCCGUUGAAACUGGCGUUCUUGAGUGGGCUAGAAGUAUGCGGAAUGCGUUGUGUAGCGGUGAAAUGCAUAGAUAUCACGCAGAACUCCGAUUGCGAAGGCAGCAUACCGGCGCCCAACUGACGCUGAGGCACGAAAGCGUGGGUAUCGAACAGGAUUAGAUACCCGGGUAGUC